AUGAGAGACCUUGUUUUUAUCAAGUUCAACUCCAAACUCAAACAAAAGAGAAAGAUGAAAAACAGGGACCCGAUUGUGGACCACACAUUUGUAGAUGUUGUAGAAGAUGAAGAUAAUGAGUGGAUCACAGGUAUUGUGCCUCAUGAACCUGAUGAAGUUGUAGAAGUUGCAGCAUCAACAUCACAAGGAGCAGUCGGUGCAUCAAAAAGAAAGAGAGCGUCCCAAUCUCGCCCUCGGAAGAAGAAAAAACUGCUCCCUGUUUUUCGUGAAGAUGAGUUGGAGUCAGCUAGUUCUUCUUCUGAAUCGGAAGAUGAUGCCAUGCAUUCACCAUCUGGUUCAUCAAAUGAGAGUGAUUCUGAAUAA
This 363-nucleotide ribosomal RNA is filed under the name Triticum aestivum (bread wheat). RNAcentral's name for it is "partial small subunit ribosomal RNA". Lineage: Eukaryota; Viridiplantae; Streptophyta; Magnoliopsida; Poales; Poaceae. The record is from RNAcentral.